Molecule: non-coding RNA, 26 nt
Filed under: Homo sapiens (human)
Lineage: Eukaryota; Metazoa; Chordata; Mammalia; Primates; Hominidae
Source: RNAcentral
UGGAGAUGGCUCUCUUAAGACAGGAU